This 30-nucleotide unclassified non-coding RNA is filed under the name synthetic construct. The record is from RNAcentral.
AGAUUCCGUUUUCAGUCGGGAAAAACUGAA